Fundulus heteroclitus (mummichog) is the source of this 1304-nucleotide long non-coding RNA. RefSeq lists it as uncharacterized. The transcript is spliced from 3 exons. The record is from RefSeq and is a predicted model, not a curated record. Lineage: Eukaryota; Metazoa; Chordata; Actinopteri; Cyprinodontiformes; Fundulidae.
AUGAGCAGGUUUGUGGACAAUGUCGCCCCCUUCCGGCUGCAUGAUGAACAGCAGGAAGGAGUCUCAGUGCAGGAACUGAGACAAAGUGCUCCAUGGAAGAUAUCUGACAAAGAAUUUGAGGCCUUUAAAUGGAAGUCUGAGAGAAAAGUGAGGCUGAACGAAAUCAUUCGGAAGAAUUCACAACAUACUGCUCUUGUUCUAGUGAGCCUUCCGGUUCCUCAAAGUGACUGCCCCAGUGCUCUGUAUAUGGCCUGGAUGGACACUCUGACAUGUGGCCUUCACUGCCCUGCUGUGUUAAUACGAGAACCAACAGAACGUCCUCACAUUCUACUGCCAGUAAAAUUUCAUGUUUAGACUGAAAGAGUCUGACCGGAGUAAAGAACUGACAGGGAAGCAAUAGUCUAUGAAUAGUAGAAAAAUUUAAUGUUUGAAUACUAAAAAAACUACAAAGGGGAUAAAACAGGUUUAUAGCUCCUACUGGAGUCAAAUGAGUUAACUACAAUGUAUGGAUGUAAUGUCUUGUAAAGUUUUUUUUUUGCCGUGGAUCUUCAUCCACAUGGUUCUGCUGACAGUUCAUAGUUACAUUUCUUGGUUAUUAACAAAGUGAAGGGGAAGGAAAAAAAACAAUAUCACCAGUUCUGCCAGAACGUAAGAGAAAAAGUGUUGCACGAAUCAUGAACUCAGAAACACACAGGAUCGUUGGGUUCCUGACUUUAUGGGAUCUAGGUCCAGUUGGCCCCAAGUGUAAAGGAUUGCUAAUCAUAGAAAUAGAUGUAUGCACAGUAGAAAUGGUUUGCAUAAUAAUGAAAACUAAGCCAUCAGGACUUCUUUCUGAUGGCAGAAUGUGGAGCUCUCCAGGAAGAUUCAAACUCUUUCUUUUCAAAGACCUUGUCCCUUUUAGUGUUUUGAAGUGACUUUAAAUAGGGCGACUGUGACUUGAUGUAGUCGUCUUGCAAUUGGAAGGUUGUGGAUUUGAUUUCCUUGUCACAUGUUGAUGUGCCCCUGGAUAAGGAACUUAAUCCCAAGUUUCCUACGCAGCUUGCGUACCAGUGUCUGAAUGUGUGCGCGUUAUUGAGUGCGAUUGGGUGAAUGAGCCUCUAGUGUACAGCGCUUUGAGUGGUCAGUAUGACUGGAAAAGCACCAUAUAAGUUCAGUCCAUUUACCAUUUUAUAUACUUAAGUAGAUAUUCAUAUCCAUUUAUUAAAACAAUCACCACUGUAUAGAUAUAAGAGCUGAUGUAUCUGCCUAUGAGAGAUCUGUUCCACAUAAAGGAAUUGUUCCAUACAGGUGAACUCUGGCUUAAA